Long non-coding RNA from Cyprinus carpio (common carp), 1964 nucleotides. The record is from Ensembl. Lineage: Eukaryota; Metazoa; Chordata; Actinopteri; Cypriniformes; Cyprinidae.
UUUUAAUUUAAUUUUAAUGAAAUUUAAUUUUUAAUUAAAAAAAUGAUCAGCAUGGUCAAAAUAUUUGUUACAUUACAUUUUCACAAUAUUCUAAUAUUUUUAAUACUUCUUUUUUAAUACUUCUGUUUUAUUUUAUUUAAUGGGCUUGGAGUUAAAUGAAACGGAAUACUCAAAAUAUUUGUUCAAUAAUAUUUUAAUAUUUUAUUAGGUCUACUAUUAGAAUAGUACUACAUUUAUUAACAAGCAAAAUAUAAUAGCAUAUAAAUAAAAAUGCCCCUCAAGUUCUACUUCAGUGCUCCCUUCAAUGAAGAAAAAAAGUUUUCCAGAAAAAAACAAAAACAAGUCUGUGGAUUCCUAAAAGAGGAGACCGGCUCGUGCCGACAGGACUGCAGUUAGUUGCACUAUGUGCCGCUAGGGGGGACUGCUGUACCACCGUACUCCGUAUCGCCGCUGUGCUGCGCGAGACGCUGCUGCCGCUCGUGUCCCUCUCGCUCUCUAAUCACGCUCUGCGUCUCUCCCCCUCUCUUUAUCAUUCUGAACCACCCCUCCUACCCCCGUCACUUACCAUGCCCUUCUGAGAGAAGAAUCCACGGCGUGUGCGAUUUAGAGGGUGUGUGUGCGUGUAUGUGUGCGCGUGACAGUUUAUGAGCCCGGCUUCUGUUUGUGUGUGCGUAGAGGCGCUAUGAAGGCCGGCUCUAUUGUGUGCAGCGCAGUGCUCUGUUACCUGCGCGCAAGUGAUUAGAGCGCCGUAAUAAACGGAGAGAGAGAGAGAGAGAGAGAGAGAGAGAGAGAGGAGGGGGUGAACGAGGGAUAGGUUGAGUGGAAGAGUAAUAAAGACCGAGGGAGGAGAUGAAAUUCCAGCUGCCUGUGAAAGGCUGUUUCCUGCAGCGCUGCCACGAGAUUAAUGACGAGAGAGAGAGACGGAGGCAGGAAGAGUGCAUCGCAAACGACUCCGUGAAAGUAUCCGGUCCGUGGCGACGGCGGCCCGUUUAGCGGUGGUUAAAGUUCUCCCAAGUUAUCAUUUUAAUAGCGUUCUCUCACGCGCGCACGGAUCACUGUCGACGCAGAUCGGCAGAUAUUGCGCGCGCAGAGGGCAUUCGCUGCCAGGCCUCGUGCUCUGCGCUCCUUGCACUUGGGACAGUGCUUUGGGCAGUAGCAAAGAUGACAGAACGCUCUCAAGAAUGACUCACAGAUGGAGAAAGCACAAGAAAACGAGGGUUUGGAAAGGGAAAGCCAGCAAACAGCGUGAGCAGUGCAGCGCUGGAGCAUGUGAGGGCAAGAAGUACUUCAACACACACACAUUAAGAGCAUACCAGCGCUGUGUGUGCGUUAAGAGGGUUGGGUUUCUAAAUGACAGAUCAUUAUCAUGCUAAUUAAAGCAUUUUGUAGCUGUGACUUGUGCAGUAUUUGUGUAUGUGUGUGAGUGUCUAAUUAAGGCCAGUUCAUCAGCGCCCAGCUCAUUUACACCGUGCUAGAGUGACACCCUGAUUCAAGCACAUGGACAGUAAUGAAGCUAUUAAUUAUUAUAGCACUUUAACAUAUUUAGCCUUAACUAAGCCAAAACCGAACAGCUGAACCACCUCAACUGAACCACAUGAACCCAACAAAGCUUCAGCAGUUUAACACAGCCUAGCACAGCUGAGCCAAAACUCAGCACAGCUAAACUAAACCAACACAGCUCAAUCAACACGUCUGAACUACACCAAAAUAUUUUUUUGGAUAACAAAGGCUUUCGUGAACAAAAUACACACAGCAUGUCACAAAAAUUCAUUAUAUCCACAUUCAUUGCAUUUUAUGACAUGCUAAAUAAUUUACAAUGUUCUUACAACAUCUGAAGAAGAAAAGUAUGGUAAUACAAACAAUUGAGAUCAAAUUAUUAUAAAUUAAUAUAAACAAUAUAUAAAAUGUUUGUAUAUCUGGUUAAAUUUUACACUUUCCUAAUUAAUAUAAAAACAACAAAAAAU